This 253-nucleotide ribosomal RNA is filed under the name uncultured bacterium. Its description in RNAcentral is "partial 16S ribosomal RNA". It matches the Rfam family "Bacterial small subunit ribosomal RNA", at positions 524 to 776 of the family's 1533-position model. The record is from RNAcentral.
UACAGAGGCCCCGAGCGUUAGUCGGAAUUACUGGGCUUAAAGCGUGCGCAGGCGGUUUUGUAAGUCUGUCGUGAAAGCCCCGGGCUCAACCUGGGAAUUGCGAUGGAGACUGCAAGGCUUGAAUCUGGCAGAGGGGGGUAGAAUUCCACGUGUAGCAGUGAAAUGCGUAGAGAUGUGGAGGAACACCGAUGGCGAAGGCAGCCCCCUGGGUCAAGAUUGACGCUCAUGCACGAAAGCGUGGGGAGCAAACAGG